This 333-nucleotide ribosomal RNA is filed under the name bacterium Fuku2-ISO-34. Its description in RNAcentral is "bacterial SSU rRNA". It matches the Rfam family "Bacterial small subunit ribosomal RNA", at positions 430 to 755 of the family's 1533-position model. RNAcentral also lists the same sequence under 1 other name. The record is from RNAcentral.
GCACUUUAAGUUGGGAGGAAGGGCAUUAACCUAAUACGUUAGUGUUUUGACGUUACCGACAGAAUAAGCACCGGCUAACUCUGUGCCAGCAGCCGCGGUAAUACAGAGGGUGCAAGCGUUAAUCGGAAUUACUGGGCGUAAAGCGCGCGUAGGUGGUUUGUUAAGUUGAAUGUGAAAUCCCCGGGCUCAACCUGGGAACUGCAUCCAAAACUGGCAAGCUAGAGUAUGGUAGAGGGUGGUGGAAUUUCCUGUGUAGCGGUGAAAUGCGUAGAUAUAGGAAGGAACACCAGUGGCGAAGGCGACCACCUGGACUGAUACUGACACUGAGGUGCG